GAGCGGCGAACGGGUGAGUAACGCGUGGGUGAUCUACCUUCGAGUGGGGAAUAACAUCGGGAAACUGGUGCUAAUACCGCAUGACAUCCCGGGAUCAAAUCUGGGAUCAAAGCCGGGGACCGCAAGGCCUGGCGCUUGAAGAGGAGCCCGCGUCCGAUUAGCUAGUUGGCGGGGUAACGGCCCACCAAGGCUACGAUCGGUAGCCGGCCUGAGAGGGCGGACGGCCACACUGGGACUGAGACACGGCCCAGACUCCUACGGGAGGCAGCAGUGGGGAAUUUUUCGCAAUGGGGGAAACCCUGACGAAGCAACGCCGCGUGGAGGAUGAAGGCCUUCGGGUCGUAAACUCCUGUCGACCGGGACGAAAGUGGUCCGACCCAAUACGUCGGGCUAUCGACUGUACCGGUGGAGGAAGCCACGGCUAACUCUGUGCCAGCAGCCGCGGUAAUACAGAGGUGGCAAGCGUUGUUCGGAAUUACUGGGCGUAAAGGGCGCGUAGGCGGUCUUGUAAGUCCCGCGUGAAAUCCCCCGGCUCAACUGGGGAACUGCGCGGGAGACUGCUUGGCUUGAGUUCGGGAGAGGGAAGCGGAAUUCCGGGUGUAGCGGUGAAAUGCGUAGAUAUCCGGAGGAACACCGGUGGCGAAGGCGGCUUCCUGGACCGACAC
Molecule: ribosomal RNA, 665 nt
Filed under: uncultured bacterium
Lineage: Bacteria
Description: bacterial SSU rRNA
Rfam family: Bacterial small subunit ribosomal RNA
Source: RNAcentral